CCUACGGGGUGCAGCAGUGAGGAAUAUUGGUCAAUGGACGAGAGUCUGAACCAGCCAAGUAGCGUGAAGGAUGACUGCCCUAUGGGUUGUAAACUUCUUUUAUAAAGGAAUAAAACGAGGCACGUGUGCCUUUUUGCAUGUACUUUAUGAAUAAGGAUCGGCUAACUCCGUGCCAGCAGCCGCGGUAAUACGGAGGAUCCGAGCGUUAUCCGGAUUUAUUUGGUUUAAAGGGAGCGUAGAUGGGUUGUUAAGUCAGUUGUGAAAGUUUGCGGCUCAACCGUAAAAUUGCAAUUGAUACUGGCAGUCUUGAUUACAGUUGAGGUAGGCGGAAUUCGUGGUGUAGCGGUGAAAUGCUUAGAUAUCACGAAGAACCCCGAUUGCGAAGGCAGCUUACUAAACUGUCACUGACAUUGAUGCUCGAAAGUGUGGGUAUCAAACAGGAUUAGAUACCCUGGUAGUC
RNAcentral lists this ribosomal RNA (460 nucleotides) under uncultured bacterium. RNAcentral's name for it is "partial 16S ribosomal RNA". It matches the Rfam family "Bacterial small subunit ribosomal RNA", at positions 338 to 795 of the family's 1533-position model. The record is from RNAcentral.